CAGUGGUUAUGGCCAGUGAGAAUGUGCGGUGUUGCAUUGCAGAAGAAGCUAGGAAAGCUCAUCUGGCCUCCUGUUCCAGUGCUUCCAGGGGAUCCACGUUCAGAAGCUGACUCUGCAGGCAAGACCGACGUUAUUUUCCUGGUGGCUGUGUUCAAAACCACCCAAAGAGACUGGUGAACUAGAGAAUGCUGAGUCUGGAGGAGACGGAGGCAGGAGAGGAGGGAAGCAGGAUAACGUUGCCUGGUGGAGGCGGAUGCAGAAGGGGGGACUUCCCCUGGGAUGACGAGGAUUUCCGCAGUCUGGCCCUUUUGGGGGCAGGCGUUGCCAUGGGAUUUUUCUACCUCUAUUUUCGAGAUCCUGGAAGAGAAAUCACGUGGAAGCACUUUGUACAGUAUUA
This 397-nucleotide long non-coding RNA is filed under the name Homo sapiens (human). RNAcentral describes it as "non-protein coding lnc-DEF8-2:12". The record is from RNAcentral. Lineage: Eukaryota; Metazoa; Chordata; Mammalia; Primates; Hominidae.